UACGUAGGGGGCUAGCGUUGUUCGGAUUUACUGGGCGUAAAGGGCUCGUAGGCGGCUUAUUAAGUCAUCUGUGAAAUCUCCGAGCUUAACUCGGAACUGUCAGCUGAUACUGAUGUGCUAGAGUGCGGAAGGGGCAAUCGGAAUUCUUGGUGUAGCGGUGAAAUGCGUAGAUAUCAAGAGGAACACCUGAGGUGAAGACGGGUUGCUGGGCCGACACUGACGCUGAGUGCGCGAAAGCCAGGGGAGCAAACGGG
This 254-nucleotide ribosomal RNA is filed under the name uncultured bacterium. RNAcentral's name for it is "partial 16S ribosomal RNA". It matches the Rfam family "Bacterial small subunit ribosomal RNA", at positions 524 to 776 of the family's 1533-position model. The record is from RNAcentral.